RNAcentral lists this ribosomal RNA (253 nucleotides) under uncultured bacterium. RNAcentral's name for it is "partial 16S ribosomal RNA". It matches the Rfam family "Bacterial small subunit ribosomal RNA", at positions 524 to 776 of the family's 1533-position model. The record is from RNAcentral.
UACAGAGGGUGCGAGCGUUAAUCGGAAUUACUGGGCGUAAAGCGUGCGUAGACGGUUAUUUAAGUCGGGUGUGAAAGCCCGGGGCUCAACUCCGGAAUUGCCUUUAAGACUGCAUCGCUAGAAUUGUGGAGAGGUAAGUGGAAUUCCGAGUGUAGAGGUGAAAUUCGUAGAUAUUCGGAAGAACACCAGUGGCGAAGGCGACUUACUGGACACAUAUUGACGCUGAGGUGCGAAAGCGUGGGGAGCAAACAGG